This 383-nucleotide ribosomal RNA is filed under the name uncultured eukaryote. RNAcentral describes it as "partial 18S ribosomal RNA". It matches the Rfam family "Eukaryotic small subunit ribosomal RNA", at positions 592 to 976 of the family's 1831-position model. The record is from RNAcentral.
CAAUAGCGUAUAUUAAAGUUGUUGCAGUUAAAAAGCUCGUAGUUGGAUUUCUGGUAGGAGCGACUGUGCCGAACUUGAUUGUUCGAGUAUUGUGUUGUCUUCAGCCAUCCUCGUGGAGAACUUUUCUAACAUUAACUUGUUGGGAUUGGGACCCGCGUCGUUUACUGUGAAAAAAUUAGAGUGUUUAAAGCAGGCAUUAGCUUGAAUACAUUAGCAUGGAAUAAUAAGAUAGGACUUUGGUACUAUUUUGUUGGUUUGCAUACCAAAUUAAUGAUCAACAGGAACAGUUUGAGGAUAUUCGUAUGAACAUGUCAGAGGUGAAAUUCUUGGAUUUUGAUCAGACGAACUACUGCGAAAGCAUUUAUCAAGGAUGUUUUCAUUAA